Molecule: ribosomal RNA, 253 nt
Filed under: uncultured bacterium
Lineage: Bacteria
Description: partial 16S ribosomal RNA
Rfam family: Bacterial small subunit ribosomal RNA
Source: RNAcentral
UACGGAGGGAGCUAGCGUUGUUCGGAAUUACUGGGCGUAAAGCGCGCGUAGGCGGCUUUGCAAGUUAGAGGUGAAAGCCCGGAGCUCAACUCCGGAACUGCCUUUAAAACUGCAUCGCUAGAAUCGUGGAGAGGUGAGUGGAAUUCCGAGUGUAGAGGUGAAAUUCGUAGAUAUUCGGAAGAACACCAGUGGCGAAGGCGACUCACUGGACACGUAUUGACGCUGAGGUGCGAAAGCGUGGGGAGCAAACAGG